Long non-coding RNA from Homo sapiens (human), 267 nucleotides. Ensembl annotates it as long intergenic non-protein coding RNA 2906. The record is from Ensembl. Lineage: Eukaryota; Metazoa; Chordata; Mammalia; Primates; Hominidae.
GUGAGCCUGAGGGGAGAAACCUUGACUCUCCAGUUGACCACUGUGUCUCUCGACACACGGCAUAUGGUGAAACGGUGUGAUGAGAGGCAUGGAAGGCCAUUACCUCAUUCACAGGAAUCUCAGCAUGGCUCUGCAACUUCAAAGAAGGCAGUUCGGGGAACAGCAGACACAGCUCCUUUGGAAAGAAUAUCUGCCGCCCGAGGAUGGGCUCUGCCUAUGGAGGCAACAGUGAGUGUCUUCAGAGCCCAUCAGUGGCAGUGGAAUUAA